This 441-nucleotide long non-coding RNA is filed under the name Salvia miltiorrhiza (redroot sage). RNAcentral's name for it is "long non-coding RNA (SMIL_LNC013593)". Lineage: Eukaryota; Viridiplantae; Streptophyta; Magnoliopsida; Lamiales; Lamiaceae. The record is from RNAcentral.
UCUUACUCAUUGUGGUCCCCCUUCUAUCAAGUCAGCUAUCAAGUCACCCUCACUGUGUGGAUGCUCUUGUGGAGGUGCUUAAAUCUUCAUUUCCAUUUAAUCCUAUUUCUAUACUUCUAUUUUAAAAUUAAAUAUUUUAUUAAAAUUAAAUAUUCAAUAUUACAUUAGCUAAAAUAAAAUAUAAGAUUUUAAAAUUAAAAACAUUACAACAAUUGAAAAGGUGAAAAUGAAAAAAAGUUUAAAAAAUUACUAGGAUUUUAAAAGAAAAAAGAUAAAAAAAUUAAAUUAAAAAACAAAAUUUUAAACCCACCCCACCCCACCCCCCGCUUUUUUUUCUUCUUUCUCCCCCAUCCUCUGCGACUAUAACUGCUUCUCUAUUUCUCCACCUAGCCACUUUUUUUCAUUUUUCAUUUCAAGCACGUGUAGCACACGAAAUCUCUC